CGGGAGGUCGUCUAAGCGGCAGGACGACAGAUUCUCGAUCUGUAUAACGGGGUUCGAGUCCCCGCCUCCCUC
This 72-nucleotide transfer RNA is filed under the name Acidobacteriaceae bacterium. RNAcentral's name for it is "tRNA-Glu". It matches the Rfam family "tRNA". Rfam says of the family: Transfer RNA (tRNA) molecules are approximately 80 nucleotides in length. Lineage: Bacteria; Pseudomonadati; Acidobacteriota; Terriglobia; Terriglobales; Acidobacteriaceae. The record is from RNAcentral.